AGCUUCGUGGUCGAAUGGUAAGGACACUUGCUUCUCACCCUGGAAUCCCGGGUUCGAUCCCCGGUCGAGGAGCUA
RNAcentral lists this transfer RNA (75 nucleotides) under Rhamnusium bicolor. RNAcentral's name for it is "tRNA-OTHER". The record is from RNAcentral. Lineage: Eukaryota; Metazoa; Arthropoda; Insecta; Coleoptera; Cerambycidae.